Molecule: long non-coding RNA, 1472 nt
Organism: Anguilla rostrata (American eel)
Lineage: Eukaryota; Metazoa; Chordata; Actinopteri; Anguilliformes; Anguillidae
Exons: 3
Source: RefSeq, a predicted model, not a curated record
AUUCUCCCGGAAGUGAUUGGUGGCGUGAAACCAACGGCGCAUGCCUCCCGGGAGUUUUAAUCAAGGUUUUAAUUCAGACCGUUUGGCUGUGGAGCAUGGUGAAAACUGAAAGAAAAAUGAAAAGAAACGAAAUAAAAGAGGAUCGGACUAUCGGGAGGAAUUGCGCGACAUACGCUGGAAGAUACGCACAGGCAGGCCAACAUGAGGAAGAUGAAGGUGAAGAGGCCAGAGAAGGAAACUGCGACCACGGCCAGAGAGGACGACCAGGAAAGCUCGCUUAGCGGGGCGCCGUCUGCAGGACAGAGGAGGCUCUGCUGGCCCACAGGAAGACGGCGAAAGAGCAACAGGAAGCGUGGCAGAUGGGAAAUCGCCCCGACAUGGCGUCUCUGGAUCACAUGGAAUUGGGCUGCUUCGAGCUGUGUCACAGUGCCCUUCUGCCGCGUCCCUGCUGUUGCCAUACGAAGCGUCCAAAUAGGUAGAGGGGGGAAGAAAAAAAAAAACGACACGGCCACACAUGGAAUCAGCCAAUCAGAUUGCGGGUGAGCUGCGCCUCAGAAGGUGAUUAGACAGGCAGAAUGGGGGCGGGGUUACCCCGGAGCACCCUCUCACAGGCUUGCUGGGGUGCCGUGACCUGAAAUUCCUCAAAACGCAAUGCGCCCUGGGGCAGCCAAAACAACAGGGGGCAACUAUGAAACCCAGAAACAGGCUGGAGCAGUGUCAGAUUCUCUGGACAAACCCCCUGCCUCUCCCCCAGCCCACCCCUCCCAUCCCCUCCACCUUCUCUAAAAUGAUUAUGAACCUCCCCGCUGUGGGAAAGAGGCCCAGCAUGAAUAUUUGAAGAGCACACAUUUCUGCGCCAGCAAAAUGAGGAAAAAAAAAAAAAACACUUAAGCUAAGCUCCCGUCCCUCUUAUUAAGAUCCCAUGUAAACAGAGAGAGAGAGAGAGACAUGGGGUGGGUUGAUACAAUCAUUCUGUUCUCCCGAGCCCUGUGCCAAUUGUCUUUGUUAAACAAAUUAACUAACGCCCAAUAUGCAGGUAAACGCACAUACAUCCAGCCGGGACGAUGUUAAUUUGUUCCGCCGAGAUUAUGUUAAUAUGUUAAUAAUGAAGGACGCUGACACACGGGUAUCCAAGGAAACGCGUCAUUGUAACGUGGGCGUGGACGCAUGGGGCGGGAGAGGAGCCUCUAAGCGCCCGUCUUCGCCUCUCUCUCUCUCUCUCUCUCUCUCUCUCUCUCUCUCUCUCUCUCUCUCUCUCUCUCUCUCUCCCUCCCUCCCUCUCUCUCUCUCUCUCUCUCUCUCUCUCUCUCUCUCGCUCGCUCCUUUCGUGCUUGUGAGACUUCCCCCCCGAACCGCCUCUCACGCGGUGUCUGCUGUUUAAAACCUGAGCCUGAAUCGUCCCUUCCGCUUCCCCGCUUUCAAGCGCUUCCUGCCCGAACGGAACGCGGGGCAGCGGGGAAACGAGGAGCGGG